Molecule: long non-coding RNA, 549 nt
Filed under: Homo sapiens (human)
Lineage: Eukaryota; Metazoa; Chordata; Mammalia; Primates; Hominidae
Description: HOXB cluster antisense RNA 3, transcript variant 2 (HOXB-AS3)
Source: RNAcentral
GUCAUAGCGACUUUUGGGAUAGUUUGCUAUCGACAAAGGGAGACAAAGUCAAGGGGUGAAGGGAAAGGAGGGCCAAGUAGAGCCUCCACGACCCUCGGCUUCCUCCUCACCAGCUCCCCCUCCCUCCAAGUCCAGUAAGAAGUUGGGCCAAGCUGGAAGGGAUUGACCGGGUUGCUUGUCUGGAGAUGGAGCCACUACAGGCGGGCCUGGGCGCCUGGAGUCGGGCAUGAAAGAAAAUAGCGCCUCAUCGCUCUUAUCUAAGCCCAGAGGUAGACUUCGCUUGAAAAGAUCGAGAAUGGAGGAGGGGAUCGGCACUCACUUGCAGACAUCAACAGUUUCCAGAAAAUUCGGUUCAAUUCCUUCACCACGGACCCACCAACCAAGGAGCUGGCAAAACCCACUAACCAACCAGGAGAACACAGACCCGGUUUGUCUUUUGACAACCGAGUGGAACUGACGGGGCCGGCGCCUGCCCUGCGGGUCCCCUCCCUUGGCUGAGAAGAAAACCAAAUAAACCUUGAACAGCCUUGGCUUCGAAAAAAAAAAAAA